This 253-nucleotide ribosomal RNA is filed under the name uncultured bacterium. RNAcentral's name for it is "partial 16S ribosomal RNA". It matches the Rfam family "Bacterial small subunit ribosomal RNA", at positions 524 to 776 of the family's 1533-position model. The record is from RNAcentral.
UACGUAGGUGGCAAGCGUUGUCCGGAUUUACUGGGCGUAAAGGGCGUGCAGGCGGUUUGUUAAGUGCAGGGUGAAAGCUCCCGGCUCAACUGGGAGAGGUCCUUGCAUACUGGCAAACUCGAGGGAGGCAGAGGAAAGUGGAAUUCCCGGUGUAGUGGUGAUAUGCGUAGAUAUCGGGAGGAACACCUGUGGCGAAGGCGGCUUUCUGGGCCUUACCUGACGCUGAGACGCGAAAGCGUGGGGAGCGAACAGG